This 253-nucleotide ribosomal RNA is filed under the name uncultured bacterium. RNAcentral's name for it is "partial 16S ribosomal RNA". It matches the Rfam family "Bacterial small subunit ribosomal RNA", at positions 524 to 776 of the family's 1533-position model. The record is from RNAcentral.
UACGGAGGGUGCGAGCGUUGUCCGGAAUGAUUGGGCGUAAAGCGUCCGCAGGUGGCAGUUCAAGUCUGCUGUCAAAGACCGGGGCUUAACUUCGGAAAGGCAGUGGAAACUGAACAGCUAGAGUAUGGUAGGGGCAGAGGGAAUUCCUGGUGUAGCGGUGAAAUGCGUAGAGAUCAGGAAGAACAUCGGUGGCGAAGGCGCUCUGCUGGACCAUAACUGACACUCGGGGACGAAAGCUAGGGGAGCGAAUGGG